GGCUUAUUGAAGAACAUUUUAAUCUCUUCCCCCAGUAUUUUCAAAACACCGCUGCAAUGGAAGAACCUUGGGACUGGAGUGCUGUGGCUAUUCACAAGCAUGAUCGUAGUGCACCCGAGCCUUGAACUCCUGGCUUCAAAGCAUCAUUCUGCCUCAGGCUUCCAAGUAGCUUGGACAACAGAGACAGAGUCUUACACUCUUGCCCAGGCUGGAGUGCAGUGACAUGAUUACAGCUCACAACAGCCUCAAUCUCUCAGGCUCAAGAGGCCCUCCUGCCUCAGCCUCUCCGGUAGCUGGGACUACAGAAAACAAAAUUGGAGAGGAAAUGUCCCAUAAAAGGAUCAAGAAGAAGAAAGAAGGAAAAAGGAAGAGAAGGAAAGAAUGAUGGGAGGAAAACAGUUGAGAGUCAUUAAUUAUUGCCUACCUUACACCAAGUCAUGGGGAAAAUCUGAAGCCUUUGAUGAUGGCAGUGUCUGUCCAAAUAUACAUCUUCUGAAAGUGAUACUCUUGUGUUUGAAAUUACCCAUUUAAAAUAUUAUUAAUUUGGUCAAACUAA
This is a long non-coding RNA of Pan troglodytes (chimpanzee), 556 nucleotides long. RefSeq lists it as uncharacterized. The transcript is spliced from 4 exons. The record is from RefSeq and is a predicted model, not a curated record. Lineage: Eukaryota; Metazoa; Chordata; Mammalia; Primates; Hominidae.